RNAcentral lists this unclassified non-coding RNA (218 nucleotides) under uncultured Tomentella. Its description in RNAcentral is "sequence contains ITS2". Lineage: Eukaryota; Fungi; Basidiomycota; Agaricomycetes; Thelephorales; Thelephoraceae. RNAcentral also lists the same sequence under 1 other name. The record is from RNAcentral.
ACACCUCAACUCUCAUGGCUUGCCAUGAUGAGCUUGGACUUUGGGGGUCUUGCUGGCCUGCGGUCGGCUCCUCUCAAAUGAAUCAGCUUGCCAGUGUUUGGUGGCAUCACAGGUGUGAUAACUAUCUACGCUUGUGGUUUUCCACCAGGUAACCUUCAGUGAUGGAGGUUCGCUGGAGCUCAUAAACGUCUCUCCUCGGUGAGGACAGCUCUUUGAAC